UGCCCGGUGGUGUAAUCGGUAACACAGCUGGUUUUGGUCCAGCCAUUCCAGGUUCAAGUCCUGGCCGGGUAA
RNAcentral lists this transfer RNA (72 nucleotides) under Planctomycetota bacterium. Its description in RNAcentral is "Planctomycetes bacterium (marine metagenome) tRNA-Gln". It matches the Rfam family "tRNA". Rfam says of the family: Transfer RNA (tRNA) molecules are approximately 80 nucleotides in length. The record is from RNAcentral. Lineage: Bacteria; Pseudomonadati; Planctomycetota.